This 448-nucleotide ribosomal RNA is filed under the name bacterium MA4001. RNAcentral describes it as "bacterial SSU rRNA". It matches the Rfam family "Bacterial small subunit ribosomal RNA", at positions 28 to 454 of the family's 1533-position model. The record is from RNAcentral.
GAUGAACGCUGGCGGCGUGCUUAACACAUGCAAGUCGAACGAAGCAAUUUUCUACGAUCCCUUCGGGGUGACGGAUUAUUGACUGAGUGGCGGACGGGUGAGUAACGCGUGGGUAACCUACCUUGUACAGGGGGACAACAGUUGGAAACGACUGCUAAUACCGCAUAAGCGCACAGCAUCGCAUGAUGCAGUGUGAAAAGUUUUUUCGGUACAAGAUGGACCCGCGUCUGAUUAGCUAGUUGGUGAGGUAACGGCCCACCAAGGCGACGAUCAGUAGCCGACCUGAGAGGGUGACCGGCCACAUUGGGACUGAGACACGGCCCAAACUCCUACGGGAGGCAGCAGUGGGGAAUAUUGCACAAUGGGCGAAAGCCUGAUGCAGCGACGCCGCGUGAGCGAAGAAGUAUUCUCGGUAUGUAAACGCUCUCAUCAGCAGGGAAGAUAAUGA